This 274-nucleotide ribosomal RNA is filed under the name uncultured bacterium. RNAcentral's name for it is "partial 16S ribosomal RNA". It matches the Rfam family "Bacterial small subunit ribosomal RNA", at positions 523 to 796 of the family's 1533-position model. The record is from RNAcentral.
AUACGGAGGGGGUUAGCGUUGUUCGGAAUUACUGGGCGUAAAGCGCACGUAGGCGGAUUAGUAAGUUAGAGGUGAAAUCCCAGGGCUCAACCCUGGAACUGCCUUUAAUACUGCUAGUCUUGAGUUCGAGAGAGGUGAGUGGAAUUCCGAGUGUAGAGGUGAAAUUCGUAGAUAUUCGGAGGAACACCAGUGGCGAAGGCGGCUCACUGGCUCGAUACUGACGCUGAGGUGCGAAAGCGUGGGGAGCAAACAGGAUUAGAAACCCCAGUAGUCC